CAGGGAGACAACAAAAUGUUUAAUAUUAAUUUUGUCACCUUAGGUCGAUCGGUAUCUCAGGUUCUUUAAUAUAUAAAGAAUUUCAAUUCCUAAGUUUUUUCUAGGUCACACCCAAUACUUUCCCUGGGCCAUUAGCUCAGGUGGUUAGAGCGCACCCCUGAUAAGGGUGAGGUCCCUGGUUCAAGUCCAGGAUGGCCCAUAUCUCUAUGUUGGGGGUAUAGCUCAGUUGGUAGAGCGCCUGCUUUGCAAGCAGGAUGUCAGCGGUUCGAGUCCGCUUACCUCCACUGAUCACCACCUCUUUCAUGAAGAAAAGGGAAAUGUUUUGAAAUGUGAUUAUUCUGAUCGAAUCUAGCUUCCUAAUAAAAAUUUACUUUAUUAAGAUGCUGGACUCAUUGAAUUUAAUUCAUUGUUUUCAGAGAACCUUGACAACUGCAUAGAUUAUUUUUAAAGACAAUAAGCAUCUUUAAUGAUGCAGAUUUAUUAUUGGUGCUUAAUGCAUUAAUAACAAUUCUAUUGAGCUGAUGCUUCAAUUUUUGAAGUUAUU
Molecule: transfer RNA, 544 nt
Filed under: uncultured Prochlorococcus sp.
Lineage: Bacteria; Bacillati; Cyanobacteriota; Cyanophyceae; Synechococcales; Prochlorococcaceae
Description: partial 16S-23S ribosomal RNA intergenic spacer
Rfam family: tRNA (bases 212-284)
Source: RNAcentral